UCACGUGCAAAUCAUUAGUAGUUAAUUACCAACUUUUUGUAUUUUAGGAUCCGUCUAUAUUUAUGAUAAAGAGUUGAAAUUUGAUACAUAGACUAACUACUUCCCUUGGCCGUUGUAAAGAAUAACUACAUCCCUUGGUGAUGAUGUGUAUCGAACAAAGAGUAUGAACUCAAACCAAGAGCUGCUUCAUGGGAUAGAGCAUUCACCUCACCCGUUGACAUGCUCAGCAACAUGGGUAAAAUCUAACUAGCAAAUAAUACUUCAGAAACUAAAAUUUCAACACAAUUAGAGACCGCGAAAAAGUCAAGCUAUUAGCAUGGAGAAUAGGUCCGGUCCAAACCAAGAGAUACCAAUUUAGGUGAUUGAUUUAAAGACGUUCUUAGAAAUCGUGGUUGAGUCUAACAGAAUCUCAUAAAACCGGUUUGUAAGGUGAAGAUUGCUCUCAUUAAUAAACACUUUGUCAGAUCAUCUCUUAUCAAAUGUGAUACUCUUUAACACAUCCCAUUACACCCAUGACUGGACAUCUAGAAUGUGGAUAUAAAUGGCAAGUGACUCGAUAACAGAAACCUGGUAGCAGGUGGUCCAAUGAAUCUUAGAGAGACUUUAAAAGAAUAAAAGUGAGGAUGUCGAACGAAAAGUUUGUUUCAACAAAAUUGAGAUAAGAUCCAUAUAAGAGCUUAAAUCCUAGUCCAUUUUUUUUCCAUGUUUUUAUUUGGCAGCCCAAACUACUUAAUACAACAAAAAAAAUGCUCUAUAGAGCUUCAAUGUGAAGAAAGUUGUGUGUUCGAUCUCUGGCACCCUCCCUUUUUAUAAUUUUUAGCGAAUUUUUCUUUUUUUAUUCAAAAUACAAGGUCCUGG
RNAcentral lists this long non-coding RNA (858 nucleotides) under Medicago truncatula (barrel medic). RNAcentral's name for it is "long non-coding RNA (MTRU_LNC008236)". Lineage: Eukaryota; Viridiplantae; Streptophyta; Magnoliopsida; Fabales; Fabaceae. The record is from RNAcentral.